AAAAGCCACCGCUCAAUUGCCACCGGUUUUUAAGAAUCGGUGGCAAAAAACAGGGGAAAAAUGGGCGGGGAUAUUAUUGCCACCGGUUCAAACCGAACCGGUGGCAAAAAUAUUAUUCCCACCGGUUCAAAACCGGUGGCUUACUAAUAUAAAAAAAACCGGCCCUUUUUUUUUUGGAAGACAAAACCAGCCCUUUAAAUACCCCAAACCCUACAAUUUGACCCACCAUCAGCCGUUUCACACCCACCUCCCCUCAUUCUCUUUCUCUCUCCUCGAUCAGUCGUUCAGCUCGGAUCCCCUCUCCCCUCUUCUCCUUCAUCCUCUCCUCCUUCUCUUUCUCUCUCCUCUCUCCCCUCUCCUCCUUCUCUUUCUCAUCUUCUUCGAUCUCCACCACCACCAAUUUUUCCACCACUUCGAAGACCACCACCGCAACAAUAACACCAAGAACACAUGCAUGAGCAACAACGACUUGAAUCGAGGUAUAUUGAUUUAGAUGUAGAUGUUAAAUCGAAGAAUAAAGAUGCAGGAUUAUUGAUUUAGGUGUUAUAUGGGUUGUUUUUUAAUUUUAAUGUUGUAAUUUUUUUUUGGAUUUUUUUUUGUAAAUUUUUUUUUUUUAUUUUAAUGUUGGAAUUUUAGUUUUGUGUAAUUUGAUUAAUUUAGUUCUUUUAAAUUGGAAUUGUUGUAUGAGUAAAUUAGUUGUAGUUAUUAAUUUAGUUUUUUCACUCUUAAAAAGUGUACAAUUACUAGAUACUGAUGAAUAUAUAUGUGUUUUUAUGGAGUUAGGAUAAUAAUUAGGGACUAAAGUUUUAUACUUUUCACCUUUUGCUACCCAAACUUUUUUCUUUCACCGUUUGGGACCUAGGAAAGAAUUUUAAACAAAUAAAUUAACUAUGGUUAAGCAUUGCGACCCACUAAUUGUUUAAUUUACUAUUUCCAAAAAAUAGGUAAGUUGUGUUUACCCCAAAAAAAAUAAAAAAGGUGCCUUUUCAACUUGACUUGUUCAUCAGAAUACUCUUGUUCAUCAUCAACCUCCCUUUGAAGAAAAAUUGAACCUUGCUUUGAAGCUUAUUUUGGUGCAGAUAAUUAGCAGUGUGUUAAGCAUCUUAACAUAAGUAUGGAGGUACCACUAUGCAUUAUUCUUCAUCAUGGUGGAAAGUGGGAGAACACUCCAGAGUUCAAAUAUGUUGGGGGAAGUAUCAAGUUGAUCAAUGACAUUCCUUCUGAUUUUGAUGCAAGUUAUUUGAAGGCUUUCAUUACAUCCUUAGGGUAUAGAAACAUAAUUAAGCUACACUACUGUGAUCCACUUAAGAGUAUGCGUAAUGGUGUUAUAUUUUUGGGAUAUGAGGAUGUAAUAUUCACUAAGUUCAAAAGCUUAUUGUAUGAGUACGGAAUGAUAGAUGUCUUUAUAGAACAUGAUGAUGAGGGGUAUGUUCAGAACUUGACUAAAGCAAAGUAUGGUAAUGUCCCGAGCCUUGAGGACAUAGUACAAGGUGAGUUGGAUGGUGCUAUGACUGAAACUGAUUUUCUUGCCACUCAAGAGAAUGACGUUGUUGUUCUUAAUGAGCCAAUUGCUAGUGUUGUAACUGAGAAUAUUGACUAUGAUGAAGAAGGUUCUGACAAUGAAGAUGAUGAAGUGAAGGAAGCUAGGUUUCAAAUUAAGGUUGAUAAAAAAGCAGAGGAAGACCAUGUCAAUGAAGAAGACUCCUUGCAAAGACUUGCUGAAUGAAAGGGUAAGAUAUUAGAAGAUAAUGGAACUGAUUAUGAAGAUGAAUCCUCUGAUUUAGAUAGCCCUUCAAAUUCAGAAGAUGAAGACGAUUGUGGGUACCUAUUACCAGAGUAUGCAAUUAAAAGUAAACCAAGAAAGUCAUCACCUGGUGGACAAUUUCUUCAUAGAAAAAAUCAGCAACAAUGUCCCUUUUUCCUAGGACAACAGUUUGAGGAUACAUCAGAGUUCAGAACUGCACUAACCAACUACUCUGUGUCAAUAGGAAGAGAUUUGCAGUACACUAAAAAUGAUGCUAAAAAACUAGGAGUGAAGUGUAAGGAGUAGAGUUGUCCUUUUUACAUUUGGGUUUCAUUAGAGAAAGGGAAGAAAACCAUGACUGUUAAGACAUUGAAACCACAACACAAUUAUGGAAGGGUAUCACAGGUGAAGAAAAUGAGAGCUAAAUGGAUUGCAAAAACAUAUCACAAUAAGUUCAAAGUCAACCCAUACUUGAAGUGUCAAGAGAUUAUUGAUACAAUCUGGUCAGAGUGAGGAGUUAAAGCAUCUUUGUGGUUAGCUUUAAAAGCAAGAAGGGCAGCUCAGAAUGUGAUAUUAGGGGAGUGUGCAGAGCGAUAUGGAUUGUUGUAUAGGUAUGUUAAGGAGAUAAAGAGGUUUAAUCCACAAAACACAAUUAAAUUCAAGCUAGAUAAUGGUGUGUUUGAGAGGGCGUAUAUAUGCUUUGAUGCUAUUAUGAAAGGAUUUUUAGAUGGUUGUAGGCCAUUCUUUGGGAUUGAUGGCUGUUUUUUAAAAGGUCCAUUUGGAGGUCAGUUACUUGUGGCUGUUGGUAGGGAUGGAAACAACCAGAUGUUUCCUAUUGCGUGGGCUUGUGUUAAAGUUGAAAGCACUGAGACAUGGGGUUGGUUUUUACAGUUAUUAGCGGAUGAUUUGGGAACCCCGGAUGGUUUUGGAUACACAAUAAUGUCUGAUCAACAAAAAGGGUUGCUCAAAGCUAUUUCAAUUGUUUGGCCAAGAGCAGAUACAAGGUGUUGUGCACGACAUGUCUUCUGUAAUUUCAGGCAAGUUUUUGGGGGUGGUCUACUAUAUUGAAGAGGGUUUUGGAAGAUUGCCAAAAGCACAACUGAAAAUGACUUCAAAAGAAACAUGGAGUUAUUUGCUUCUAUAAAUCUUCCAGCAGCAAAGGAUUUAUUGAAAAGAAACUACAAAAAAUGGGUGAGAGCUUUUUUGACAACUACAAGUACUUGUGAUAGCAUAGACAACAAUAUGAAUGAAGUUUUCAAUGCAUAUAUCUUAUCAUCAAGACACAAACCUAUAGUCAGCAUGCUAGAAGACAUUAGGGAAGGUUUGAUGGAAAGAUUGCAUAAGAAGAGAGAUUUCAUUCUUAAUAAAGAUAUUGAAAUAUGUCCAAGGGUACAAGCUAGGUUGGAAAAGUCUAAGUUGGAUGCAAGAGGUUGGUCUGCAUUUUGGGAUGGACAUUUCACGUACGGUGUUAGGGAAGGUGCAACACAAGUUAGAUGUGUUGUAAGUUUGCUUGAGAAGACAUGCAGUUGUAAUGCUUGGCAACUAAGUGGAAUCCCUUGCAACCAUGCUGUGACUGCAAUUUGGAAAGCACAUGAACACCCAGAGCACUAUGUGUCUAAGUACUAUAGCAAAACAACGUACUUAAAAGCAUAUGCAUUCCCGUUAGAACCACUCAAUGGACCCCAAGAGUGGUCUGUAUCAACAAAAACACCAAUUCAAGCUCCUCCCUUUAAAAAGCUUCAAAACAGACCCACCACUAAAAGAAAGCCUUCAUUAGGUGAAGUUGAGGCCACCAAAUUGUCAAAAAAAAGGCACAUCACAGAUACACAAGUGCAGCAGUUGCAGAGAACCUGGCCACAACAAAAAGAAGUGUCCUUGGCCACAACAAAAUCCAACUGUCAACUACAAUGUACAAAAGCAACCACAGAAAAAUAUGCAUACUACUGCAACCCCAGCUGCUUCUAACACACAACAAUCCCAGACAAGCAAAGACACUUACCCAAACGAGUAUCAAAGACAAUCAGUGAGUAUAAUUCCACCUCAAUCAAGUCAUGCAUUUGUACCAAGUCAGUCAAGUCAUGGAUCAAACACAAAUCAUUUAACACAACAAAAUUCAUUGUAUAAUGGACCAACAAGAUUGUUCUAAUUUCAUUAAAAUGCAAGGUUUAAACAUUGGUUUGGAAGAGCAAGAAAAGGGAAUUCGAAAAAAAAAAACAGAGUAAAUUGGAGAUGAUAUGAAGAAGGCUUGCUGUUAUUAUUAGAUGUUGGAAGUUGCGUGCUUUUGUGGAUGUUGGAUGCUAUUGUUUUUGUUUUGAAAUUUUAGAUUGUGGUUUGUUAUUUUAGUUUAAGGUAAAAAAAUCAGGAACAUAGUUAAGUCUAAUUUUUGAAGUAGAUAUUUUUUUUUAUUAAAAUCUAUAACUGGAUUGUGGUUCACGAUCUUAUUUUGCUUUGGAUAACUUUGUUUUUUUUUUAAUUCCAAUUAAUGCUCAAGUUGGUUAGAAAAUUUUUCAGAUGGGUUAAAUGACUUGAAAUUUAACCACAGGUCCCAAACGGUUAAAGAAAAAAAUUCGGGUCCCAAAAGGUGAAAAGUAUAAAACUUUAGUCCCUAAUUAUUACCUUAACUCUGUUUUAUGUAUUUUACAUAUAUAUAUAUUUUCUGCUACAAUUUAAGUGAAAUAAAUGCAAUUUUUUUUUUUGUUUUUUG
This is a long non-coding RNA of Chenopodium quinoa (quinoa), 4448 nucleotides long. RefSeq lists it as uncharacterized. The record is from RefSeq and is a predicted model, not a curated record. Lineage: Eukaryota; Viridiplantae; Streptophyta; Magnoliopsida; Caryophyllales; Amaranthaceae. The transcript has 5 exons.